Molecule: ribosomal RNA, 253 nt
Filed under: uncultured bacterium
Lineage: Bacteria
Description: partial 16S ribosomal RNA
Rfam family: Bacterial small subunit ribosomal RNA
Source: RNAcentral
GACGAACCGUGCGAACGUUGUUCGGAAUCACUGGGCUUAAAGGGCGCGUAGGCGGAUCAUCAAGUCUAGGGUGAAAUCCUCCGGCUUAACCGGAGAACUGCCUUGGAUACUGAUGAUCUCGAGGGAGGCAGGGGCAGUUGGAACUUCCGGUGGAGCGGUGAAAUGCGUUGAUAUCGGAAGGAACGCCGGUGGCGAAAGCGAACUGCUGGACCUCUACUGACGCUGAGGCGCGAAAGCCAGGGGAGCAAACGGG